This 784-nucleotide ribosomal RNA is filed under the name uncultured bacterium. RNAcentral describes it as "bacterial SSU rRNA". It matches the Rfam family "Bacterial small subunit ribosomal RNA", at positions 8 to 776 of the family's 1533-position model. The record is from RNAcentral.
AGAGUUUGAUCCUGGCUCAGGACGAACGCUGGCGGCGUGCUUAACACAUGCAAGUGGAGCGACGAACCAGGCUUCGGCCUGGGGCAGAGCCGCGAACGGGUGAGUAACACGUGGGUAACCUGCCCUGAUGACUGGGACAACCCGGGGAAACCCGGGCUAAUACCGGAUGUGCCCUCCGUCCUCAAGGACGGCGGACAAAGGAAGCUUCGGCCUCCGCAUCGGGAUGGGCCCGCGGCCCAUUAGCUUGUUGGUGAGGUAACGGCCCACCAAGGCAACGAUGGGUAGCUGGUCUGAGAGGACGAUCAGCCACACUGGGACUGAGACACGGCCCAGACUCCUACGGGAGGCAGCAGUGGGGAAUCUUGCGCAAUGCGCGAAAGCGUGGCGCAGCAACGCCGCGUGGGGGAAGACGGCCUUCGGGUUGUAAACCCCUUUCAGGAGGGACGAAGGUCGGGCGGUGAAUAGCCGUUCCGGCUGACGGUACCUCCACAAGAAGCCCCGGCUAACUACGUGCCAGCAGCCGCGGUAAUACGUAGGGGGCUAGCGUUGUCCGGAAUCAUUGGGCGUAAAGAGCGUGUAGGCGGUCCGGUAAGUCCGUUGUGAAAGUCAAGGGCUCGACCCUUGAAUGCCGGCGGAUACUGUCGGGGCUAGAGUCCGGAAGAGGCGAGUGGAAUUCCCGGUGUANCGGUGAAAUGCGCAGAUAUCCGGAGGAACACCUAUUGCGAAGGCAGCUCGCUGGGACGGUACUGACCCUGAAACCCCAAAGCGUUGGGGAACCAACCGG